UACGUAGGAGGCAAGCGUUGUCCGGAGUUACUGGGCGUAAAGCGCACGCAGGCGGUCUUGUCAGUCUGUAGGGACAGGGCACAGCUCAACUGUGUCAGGCUUACGGAAACUGCAAGACUUGAGGGCUUCAGAGGGAUGGGGAAUUCCGGGUGUAGUGGUGGAAUGCGUAGAGAUCCGGAGGAACACCAGCGGCGAAGGCGGCAUCCUGGACUGGUCCUGACACUCAUGAGCGAAAGCGUGGGGAGCGAUCCGG
Molecule: ribosomal RNA, 253 nt
Filed under: uncultured bacterium
Lineage: Bacteria
Description: partial 16S ribosomal RNA
Rfam family: Bacterial small subunit ribosomal RNA
Source: RNAcentral